RNAcentral lists this ribosomal RNA (253 nucleotides) under uncultured bacterium. RNAcentral describes it as "partial 16S ribosomal RNA". It matches the Rfam family "Bacterial small subunit ribosomal RNA", at positions 524 to 776 of the family's 1533-position model. The record is from RNAcentral.
UACGGAGGGGGCAAGCGUUGUUCGGAAUCAUUGGGCGUAAAGGGCGCGUAGGCGGCCGACCAAGUCGGGUGUGAAAUCCCUCGGCUCAACCGAGGAACUGCAUUCGAUACUGGUUGGCUAGAGUCCGGGAGGGGAUGGUGGAAUUCCCAGUGUAGCGGUGAAAUGCGUAGAUAUUGGGAAGAACACCGGUGGCGAAGGCGGCCAUCUGGACCGGCACUGACGCUGAGGCGCGAAAGCCAGGGGAGCGAAUGGG